Molecule: ribosomal RNA, 428 nt
Filed under: uncultured bacterium
Lineage: Bacteria
Description: partial 16S ribosomal RNA
Rfam family: Bacterial small subunit ribosomal RNA
Source: RNAcentral
GUGGGGAAUAUUGGGCAAUGGGCGAAAGCCUGACCCAGCAACGCCGCGUGAAGGAAGAAGGCCCUCGGGUUGUAAACUUCUUUGACAGGGGACGAAACAAAUGACGGUACCCUGAAAACAAGCCACGGCUAACUACGUGCCAGCAGCCGCGGUAAUACGUAGGUGGCAAGCGUUAUCCGGAUUUACUGGGUGUAAAGGGCGUGUAGGCGGGAUUACAAGUCAGAUGUGAAAACUAUGAGCUCAACCCAUAGCCUGCAUUUGAAACUGUAGUUCUUGAGUGAUGGAGAGGCAGACGGAAUUCCUCGUGUAGCGGUGAAAUGCGUAGAUAUGAGGAGGAACACCAGUGGCGAAGGCGGUCUGCUGGACAUUAACUGACGCUGAGGCGCGAAAGCGUGGGGAGCAAACAGGAUUAGAUACCCCUGUAGUCC